AUAACAGUUGUAGCUUAUCCUCCUUUGUUCCAGCUACCCUGCAAGACACUCAUUUAUUCCUCUGAGAUGGGCAUUAUUGUUAUCCCUAUCUUCCAGAAAGGAAGCAUGACUUGACCAGAGACAAACUCCCAUCCUAGUUCCAGCUCCUUGUUCCCACUGAACAGGAACAGCAUCUGCCUUCUGACUAAACAGUUAGGUCUUGGGAGAGGCAUGGAGGCCUUUCGUAAUUAAUCCUGAACGUUGCUGGUGAACACCAGAACCGUGCCUUCUGAUGGGUCUAGGAGCUGUUUCCUUCCUCUCCCCACCCACGGAUUUCCCCAGAAUUGAAUCAGUUUUCAACUUAAGAUCAAGAGAGGCCUGGCCACAUCUGAGACCAGGCAGCCCACCAGCAAAGUCUCCUUCCUGCCCCGAAUACCAGGUUCUGUCGCUAACCUGAGCCUGUACCCCCAGCCCCAGCCCGAAGGACUCAAGCAUCCACCUUUAAGUUUUCUUCUUCUUAAACCUCCUUCUGAAGCUUCAUAUGGUGACCACUAAUCCCUGCCCUCCUGCUCUCACUUCCCCCAACUGCCCAGUGCCAGGACAAGCCACAUCCUGUCCAGCCUAUGCUCACGUCUGUCACUCUGCCUUUUCCCCUGGGCAAACUCCAUUCAUUCUGUUUAGAAGACUCCUCCUUCCGGAAGUCCUCCCACUCCUACAGGCAGCCAUUUUUCCCUGAAUGAGUCCCAGUAGUAACUAAUGGCUUCUAAAUCUGGUCUCAUCCAGUUGGAGAGCCACUUCCAACAAGACUAAGGGUAUAUACUCUAGACCUCCAGUGACCAAGCCCAGACUGUGAGGCUCAGAGUGAGUGCUCCAGAAACAUUUCAUGAUGCCUAUCUAUCCCCUCCUCUCCUCUGCAAGCCUGUGUCUCCAUCAGACAGAAUUGUGGUUUCAAUAACCGACCAAAUGAGUUGUACAAAACUCAAAUCCUCCCAAAAAGGAUUGAAGAUGUUUGAGGAACAAACAGCCUUUGGUGCCAGACAAUGCUUUAAAAAGCUUAAGAGGCCAGGUACGGUGGUGCACGCCUUUAGUCCCAGCACUUUGGGAGGCUGAGGCAGACAGAUCGCUUGAGCCCAGGAGUUCAAGACCAGCCUGGGCAAUAUGGCUAAACCCUGUCUCUAUAAAAAAUACAAAAGGUAGGCCAGGCGCUGUGGCUCACAUCUGUAAUCCCAGCACUUUGGGAGGCCAAGGUGGGUGGGUCACAUGAGGUCAGGAGUUUGAGACCAGCCUGACCAACAUGGUGAAACCCCAGCUGAGGCAGGAGAAUCACUUGAGCCCAAGAGGCUGAGGUUGCAGUGAGCUGAGAUCGUGCCAUUUCACUCCAGCCUGGGCCACAAGGCGAAACUCCGUCUCAAAAAAAAAAAAAA
This 1403-nucleotide long non-coding RNA is filed under the name Macaca fascicularis (crab-eating macaque). Its description in RNAcentral is "lncRNA (ENSMFAG00000047881.1)". Lineage: Eukaryota; Metazoa; Chordata; Mammalia; Primates; Cercopithecidae. The record is from RNAcentral.